This 445-nucleotide ribosomal RNA is filed under the name Stygocapitella sp. 429_08. RNAcentral's name for it is "partial large subunit ribosomal RNA". It matches the Rfam family "Bacterial large subunit ribosomal RNA", at positions 1810 to 2611 of the family's 2925-position model. The record is from RNAcentral. RNAcentral also lists the same sequence under 1 other name. Lineage: Eukaryota; Metazoa; Annelida; Polychaeta; Parergodrilidae.
AAAACAUAGCCUACUAUUUAACUUAGGUACAACCCUGCCCUCUGACUUUUAACAGCCGCGGUAUCCUAACCGUGCUAAGGUAGCAUAAUCACUUGCCUAUUAAUUAUAGGCUAGAAUGAACGGGAUCACUCACUUAAACUUAUUUUUAUUUAAAUUUAAAUUAAACUUUAAGUCAAAAUACUAAAUUAAAAAGAAAGACAAAAAGACCCUGAAAACUAUUAGAAAUAAUUAGUUGGGGCAACUAUAGACCACUCUAGCGUCUAUUUUUUUUAAACUCUUAAAAUCUAAAGUAUCCAGUUACUUCAGGGAUAACAGACUAAUUUUAUUAUUUAGACCCAAUAAAUAAUAAAGAUUGGCACCUCGAUGUUGGCUUAUAUUUCCUUCAUAUAGCAACAUAUAUAGAAGGCAGCUUGUUCAUCUGUUAAAUAUUUACAUGAGCUGAGUU